RNAcentral lists this ribosomal RNA (305 nucleotides) under uncultured bacterium. Its description in RNAcentral is "bacterial SSU rRNA". It matches the Rfam family "Bacterial small subunit ribosomal RNA", at positions 334 to 653 of the family's 1533-position model. The record is from RNAcentral.
GAAUCCUACGGGGCGCAGCAGUGGAGAAUAUUGGACAAUGGGGGGAACCCUGAUCCAGCGACGCCGCGUGAGUGAAGAAGUAUUUCGGUAUGUAAAGCUCUAUCAGCAGGGAAGAAAGAAAUGACGGUACCUGACUAAGAAGCCCUGGCUAACUACGUGCCAGCAACCGCGGUAAUACGUAGGGGGCAAGCGUUAUCCGGAUUUACUGGGUGUAAAGGGAGCGUAGACGGCGAUGCAAGUCUGAAGUGAAAGGCGGGGGCCCAACCCCUGGACUGCUUUGGAAACUGUAUGGCUGGAGUGCAGGG